CAGUCGCCACGGUAACACGGAGGGAGCUAGCGUUGUUCGGAAUUACUGGGCGUAAGGCGCGCGUAGGCGGUUACUCAAGUCAGAGGUGAAAGCCCGGGGCUCAACCCCGGAACUGCCUUUGAAACUAGGUGACUAGAAUCUUGGAGAGGUCAGUGGAAUUCCGAGUGUAGAGGUGAAAUUCGUAGAUAUUCGGAAGAACACCAGUGGCGAAGGCGACUGACUGGACAAGUAUUGACGCUGAGGUGCGAAAGCGUGGGGAGCAAACAGGAUUAGAUACCCGUGUAGUCCCUGUCUCUUAUAU
Molecule: ribosomal RNA, 301 nt
Filed under: uncultured bacterium
Lineage: Bacteria
Description: partial 16S ribosomal RNA
Rfam family: Bacterial small subunit ribosomal RNA
Source: RNAcentral